RNAcentral lists this ribosomal RNA (229 nucleotides) under uncultured bacterium. Its description in RNAcentral is "partial 16S ribosomal RNA". It matches the Rfam family "Bacterial small subunit ribosomal RNA", at positions 568 to 796 of the family's 1533-position model. The record is from RNAcentral.
CAUGUAGGCGGUCUGUCAAGUCUGAUGUGAAAGCCCGGGGCUCAACCCCGGAAGUGCAGUGGAAACUGGCAGACUUGAGUACGGGAGAGGAAAGUGGAAUUUCGAGUGUAGGGGUGAAAUCCGUAGAUAUUCGAAGGAACACCAGUGGCGAAGGCGGCUUUCUGGACCGAUACUGACGCUGAGAUGCGAAAGCGUGGGGAGCAAACAGGAUUAGAUACCCUGGUAGUCC